RNAcentral lists this unclassified non-coding RNA (445 nucleotides) under Hevea brasiliensis (rubber tree). The record is from RNAcentral. Lineage: Eukaryota; Viridiplantae; Streptophyta; Magnoliopsida; Malpighiales; Euphorbiaceae.
UUAUGCUGCCAUUGCCUGGCAUAAACAGACAAUUAACUAGCUUUUCUUGAUAUCAAUGCAGAUCACUCACUUAUGCUGCUCCAGACAUGCAAAUUUUCAAUCAGGCAAGAGCUGCAGGUACUGAAGUUUUCCAGGUGAUUCAUAGGAAGUCACUCAUAAGCCAUAGGUCAAUGGGGAAGACACUGGAUAAAAUUGAAGGAAACAUCGAUAUAUGUGAUGUACAUUUUGCAUACCCAUCCCGUCAGGAAAAUUUAAUCCUUAAAGGCUUUUCAUUGCCGAUCCCUGCUGGUAAAACGGUGGCAUUAGUUGGCAGUAGCGGUUGUGGAAAGAGUACUGUUAUUUCCUUAGUUGAAAGAUUCUAUGAUCCUUUGAAAGGUCUACUGCUCCUUCCCUUCUCCUUUUAUGUUGAAGCAUUUGUUCAAAUACAUAUGCGAGCACAAGCACG